This 210-nucleotide ribosomal RNA is filed under the name uncultured bacterium. Its description in RNAcentral is "partial 16S ribosomal RNA". It matches the Rfam family "Bacterial small subunit ribosomal RNA", at positions 1289 to 1500 of the family's 1533-position model. The record is from RNAcentral.
CAGUUCGGAUUGAAGGCUGAAAUUCGCCUUCAUGAAGCCGGAAUUGCUAGUAAUGGCAGGUCAGCAUACUGCCGUGAAUACGUUCCCGGGCCUUGUACACACCGCCCGUCACACCAUGAGAGUUGGGAAUACCCGAAGCCUGUGAGCUAACGAAAGAGGCAGCAGUCGAAGGUAGAAUCAAUGAUUGGGGUGAAGUCGUAACAAGGUACC